This 297-nucleotide long non-coding RNA is filed under the name Capsella rubella. RNAcentral describes it as "long non-coding RNA (CRUB_LNC001138)". The record is from RNAcentral. Lineage: Eukaryota; Viridiplantae; Streptophyta; Magnoliopsida; Brassicales; Brassicaceae.
UUGCACAGAUGACAUCAAAGAAGCAUAUAAUAUUUUGAUUUUGAACUCGUUUCUCUAGGUUUGUUUCUUUAUUCCGUAGCUUUGAAUUUGUUCCUAUUGAAAAAUGUGGUCGUUGUUUUAUCAACAAAGACGAUGAGGUCUUUUUUAUUUAAAAAAAAAAAAAAAUGUAUUCGCGAAAAUGAUGUUUAAUCAAAUCUCGUACUUGUGUGACAAAAAGAACGUAUAUAUGUUGUACUUGUUAGAAGAAAGUCCGAUGUUUUGUUCUUCAAUCUUGAAUAUAUGCUUACUCAGUUACUC